Molecule: long non-coding RNA, 434 nt
Filed under: Chinchilla lanigera (long-tailed chinchilla)
Lineage: Eukaryota; Metazoa; Chordata; Mammalia; Rodentia; Chinchillidae
Description: lncRNA (ENSCLAG00000023774.1)
Source: RNAcentral
GGUCAAGCUGGUUUUCAACAUUUUUAUGUAUGUCAUUCUCAAUAUAGCAACAGAAUCUCUUAUGGAAAACAAUGAGCCACAAGUUGCAUGGAACAGGAUCUGGAGAAUAAUGUGGACAAAGACACACCAUAGUGCUUCUGCAAUCUUGUGUUUCCAAUCAGUGGCACUUCAGCAGUCACUAGAUUUUUUUAAUCACAUCUUGCAAGAACAUUGUUAAAAGAAGAACUGGUUCACAAAGUGACAAGAAUGGUGAGACGACUGUUCAAAGCAAGAGGGAGGUUUUUGAGUGUGAUUCAUUGCACUCUGUACUUUAUGAUAAGAAUUUUUAAAAAUUUGAACAUUGUAAAUAUAAAUUUUGGAACAUAGGUUUUUAUGGCGCUGUAUUUUGGAUCUUGAAUGUUCUCUUAUAACUAUGUAUUAAAAGCUCGUAUCUG